RNAcentral lists this ribosomal RNA (468 nucleotides) under uncultured bacterium. Its description in RNAcentral is "partial 16S ribosomal RNA". It matches the Rfam family "Bacterial small subunit ribosomal RNA", at positions 28 to 507 of the family's 1533-position model. The record is from RNAcentral.
GACGAACGCUGGCGGCGUGCUUAACACAUGCAAGUCGAACGGAAAGGCCCUGCUUUUGUGGGGUGCUCGAGUGGCGAACGGGUGAGUAACACGUGAGUAACCUGCCCUAGACUUUGGGAUAACUUCAGGAAACUGGGGCUAAUACCGGAUAGGAGCUCCUGCUGCAUGGUGGGGGUUGGAAAGUUUCGGCGGUUGGGGAUGGACUCGCGGCUUAUCAGCUUGUUGGUGGGGUAGUGGCUUACCAAGGCUUUGACGGGUAGCCGGCCUGGGAGGGUGACCGGCCACAUUGGGACUGAGAUACGGCCCAGACUCCUACGGGAGGCAGCAGUGAGGAAUAUUGCACAAUAGGCGGAAGCCUGAUGCAGCAACGCCGCGUGCGGGAUGACGGCCUUCGGGUUGUAAACCGCUUUCGCCUGUGACAAAGCGUGAGUGACGGUAAUGGGUAAAGAAGCACCGGCUAACUACGUG